GCAUUGGUUGUUCAAUGGUCAAAUUCUUGCCUCCCAUGUGGGAGACCUGGGUUUGAUUCCCAGUCAAUGCA
RNAcentral lists this transfer RNA (71 nucleotides) under Loxodonta africana (African savanna elephant). It matches the Rfam family "tRNA". Rfam says of the family: Transfer RNA (tRNA) molecules are approximately 80 nucleotides in length. Their secondary structure includes four short double-helical elements and three loops (D, anti-codon, and T loops). The record is from Rfam by way of RNAcentral. Lineage: Eukaryota; Metazoa; Chordata; Mammalia; Proboscidea; Elephantidae.